GACGAACGCUGGCGGCGUGCCUAACACAUGCAAGUCGAACGGACAUUAAUUUUUCGGAAUUGAUGUUAGUGGCGGACGGGUGAGUAACGCGUGAGCAACCUGCCUUUCAGAGGGGGAUAACGUAUGGAAACGUACGCUAAUACCGCAUGACAUAUAUUUGCCGCAUGGCAGAUAUAUCAAAGGAGCAAUCCGCUGAGAGAUGGGCUCGCGUCCGAUUAGAUAGUUGGUGGGGUAACGGCCUACCAAGUCAGCGAUCGGUAGCCGGACUGAGAGGUUGAACGGCCACAUUGGGACUGAGACACGGCCCAGACUCCUACGGGAGGCAGCAGUGGGGGAUAUUGCACAAUGGGCGAAAGCCUGAUGCAGCAACGCCGCGUGAGGGAAGACGGUUUUCGGAUUGUAAACCUCUGUCUUUGGUGACGAAACAAAUGACGGUAGCCAAGGAGGAAGCCACGGCUAACUACGUGCCAGCAGCCGCGUAAACUGUAGUCGU
RNAcentral lists this ribosomal RNA (493 nucleotides) under uncultured bacterium. RNAcentral's name for it is "bacterial SSU rRNA". It matches the Rfam family "Bacterial small subunit ribosomal RNA", at positions 28 to 532 of the family's 1533-position model. The record is from RNAcentral.